AAGAGUUAGGGUCCUCUGGGCCCGACCUCCCAACCCUUUGUUUACUGAACCUCUGUUGCUUCGGCGGACCCGCCUCACGGCCGCCGGAGGAUCGCCCCCAGGCGUCCUCUGGCCAGCGUCCGCCGACAGCCACUCUCAAAACUCUUGAAUAAAUCAUGUCAUUGUCUAAGUUAUGAUGCAAAUCAAUAAAGCA
RNAcentral lists this unclassified non-coding RNA (193 nucleotides) under soil metagenome. RNAcentral's name for it is "partial internal transcribed spacer 1". The record is from RNAcentral.